UCAGGAUUCAGCGCUAAAUGAGACAGAUGGAGUGUCUGUCCCUAUUGAGAAUUCCUUGUUUGGUUUAAACAAUUAAAGGAACAAGAAAAGCAAAACAAAUUCCAAAUUCUAACAUGUGGCUGUUAUUCAUUUCAUAACAAACCGUGCAGCAAUGUCAUUGACUUUCAACAAGCAAUCUCUUUUAGAAAUUACUGCCAUGAACUCACUUGUGAUGAAUUGGAUUUAGUAAUAAAAGCCCACUUGAUAACGCUCAGACUUAACGAAACUCCUAAAGACACUUAAUUAUUAUGAUUAUUAUUAAUGAUGAUUAUUAUUAUUGCAUUAUUUUGUUAUAUUGCUAUGAAGUUAAGUGAAAGAUAUUUAUCUUUUCAAUCUUGACAAUUGUUUUAAAAACUUAAAUAUAUCUUAGGUUGGACCAAACUACUUCAAGACUGCGAAAAAAUGUGAAGUCUUUGGUGUUCGCUGUGAAGGUACAGGAAAACAGGUGUUUUACUUGGCGAAUGAGGGUGAAUCACCCGGGAAAGGCGCCAACACUGUUGUUAGCUAUGUGCAUUACUAGCUUCACCACUAUGGCCUAGAGGAGGAAGAGGCAGUUUUCUUCUUUGACAACUGCUGGACAAAAUAAGAACAACUGUGUACUUUCGUAUGCAUUGUGGAGAGUAAGUGUUGGGCUGCACACUCGAAUGAGAUACUCGAUGAUGGUGAUUGCGACCACAUCAAGUUCUACCCUGAUUGGCAUUUUGGAUUAUGGAAGUCAAAGUACUUUGUGAUGCAGAGACCAUCGAGGCUGUUGCUGAGACUGUAUCCACCUCCUUAAGGUCUGGACUUAAUGUGCCGCACAUGAUUGGUGAUUUGGAGAAGCCUGUGCACCUAUACCAUUGGAAAACUUUUCUUGCCCAGUUGUUCAUACCCUUGAAGAACAUUAGAAAGUACCAACAUUUCCUCAUUGAUGCUGGUAAACCAGGCUUGGUAUUUUGUAAAACAAGUGAAAAAUCUACUGUUGAAACUCACUGUUUGUUAAACUUUAAAGAGUGCUGACCUCUUACCAUCAAUGUCUAGCCAGUCUUGCCCAGCCUGAAUUAAAGGACCUUGACUCAGUAUCGCCUGACAAUGGUACCUUUAUGAGGACAUAGGGCAGUUUUUUUAAAUCAAACCUCAGUAGACAAGCCACCUGUCCCAAGCCGAAGUAAAAAAAAACAAAACUGUAUGUGUAACUCAGAAGUUGCAAAAAACAUGUGCCCUGUCCUAUCUUUGUUUGUUUUAAGGUUGAAAAUUGUAAGCUCCUGUUUGUAAAAUAGCCUUAGAUUAUUUGUUUUGAUUACCAAGUUAUAUGUUAUUGUUUACCAUAUCAACUGUUCAUUGGUGAACUUUUCAGCAACAAUUACUAGUGUGAAAAUUUUAAUAUUAAAUUGGCCUGUGGCAUGAUAUUUUCUAAAUUGAAACUUAUGAUGUGAUGCUAUUAAUGUGUAAUGUCAUGUCUUAAAACAUGUUUUAUAAAGUUUGUCAAAACAUUUAGCCAUAUGUCCAUGUGUGUUUAUUUAUUAUGACAGGUGGUAAUAUAUAAGUUUUGUUGAAGCUCAUCAUACCCAUGAUUGCCAAACCCACUUACAUAUAAAAUAAGAAUGAUGGUUGCUAUGGAAACAUUAUUUUGGCAUUUACAUAUUUGUUGAUGGAAUAAAUUCUAUUUAUAUGAUAAUGGUAUUAUGUUUAUUUUAACUGAUUUAUAGAAGGUAUCUUUUAAUGCCUUACAAGUAAUACAUGUUCAUCUUUAAUUGUUCUGAAUUAGAAGUACAUGUUGUUAUUAUUUGUGUUUAUUUAUGGCGGUUUUACUAUGUGGGUUUCGUAAACAAAUUGUAGUUAAAUUGUUUGGUCAAAUAAUCUUGUUCUUUUUCAUGUUUGAUAUGUAUGGGAAAGGAUUUACUAAUAAAAUUAGGUGUUUUUGCUGUUCAAAACAGUAAAAAUGGAUAUUUUAUCUAUUUGUUGCCAUGG
This is a long non-coding RNA of Dreissena polymorpha, 1989 nucleotides long. RefSeq lists it as uncharacterized. The transcript is spliced from 4 exons. The record is from RefSeq and is a predicted model, not a curated record. NCBI's taxonomy places the organism in Eukaryota, Metazoa, Mollusca, Bivalvia, Myida, Dreissenidae.